Maniola jurtina (meadow brown) is the source of this 114-nucleotide long non-coding RNA. RefSeq lists it as uncharacterized. NCBI's taxonomy places the organism in Eukaryota, Metazoa, Arthropoda, Insecta, Lepidoptera, Nymphalidae. The transcript has 3 exons. The record is from RefSeq and is a predicted model, not a curated record.
GAUAGCUAGUAUGACCCUGACAUCCGCUAAGGAAGGAUUCUUGAAAAUUCAGCCCCUAAGAGGGUAAAAUAAGGAUUUGUUUAUGUAAUCCACGCGAACGACGUCGCGGGAAUG